AUACGGAGGGUGCAAGCGUUACUCGGAAUCACUGGGCGUAAAGGAUGCGUAGGCUGGAUGUCAAGUUGGAAGUGAAAUCCUAUGGCUUAACCAUAGAACUGCUUCCAAAACUGGCAACCUAGAGUGAGGGAGAGGCAGAUGGAAUUAGUGGUGUAGGGGUAAAAUCCGUAGAUAUCACUAGGAAUACCGAUUGCGAAGGCGAUCUGCUAGAACUCUACUGACGCUAAGGCAUGAAAGCGUGGGGAGCAAACAGGAUUAGAAACCCCAGUAGUCC
RNAcentral lists this ribosomal RNA (274 nucleotides) under uncultured bacterium. RNAcentral describes it as "partial 16S ribosomal RNA". It matches the Rfam family "Bacterial small subunit ribosomal RNA", at positions 523 to 796 of the family's 1533-position model. The record is from RNAcentral.